RNAcentral lists this ribosomal RNA (458 nucleotides) under uncultured bacterium. RNAcentral's name for it is "bacterial SSU rRNA". It matches the Rfam family "Bacterial small subunit ribosomal RNA", at positions 29 to 506 of the family's 1533-position model. The record is from RNAcentral.
ACGAACGCUGGCGGCAUGCCUAACACAUGCAAGUCGAACGGUUUCUUGAGGUAACUCAAGGAAUACGUGGCAGACGGGUGAGUAACGCGUAGGAACGUACCCCUUUGUUGGGAAUAACGGCUGGAAACGGCUGCUAAUACCGGAUACGUCUGAUAGGAGGGAUCCUAUUAGAGAAAGGAGGAAUUCGCAAAGGGAGCGGCCUGCGUCAGAUUAGGUAGUUGGUGGGGUAAAGGCCUACCAAGCCUGUGAUCUGUAGCUGGUCUGAGAGGAUGGACAGCCACACUGGGACUGAGAUACGGCCCAGACUCCUACGGGAGGCAGCAGUGGGGAAUAUUGGACAAUGGGGGAAACCCUGAUCCAGCAAUGCCGCGUGAGUGAAGAAGGCCUUCGGGUUGUAAAGCUCUUUUGUGAGGGAAGAUGAUGACGGUACCUCACGAAUAAGCACCGGCUAACUUCGU